GAUGAACGCUGGCGGCGUGCCUAAUACAUGCAAGUCGAGCGAACAGACGAGGAGCUUGCUCCUCUGACGUUAGCGGCGGACGGGUGAGUAACACGUGGAUAACCUACCCAUAAGACUGGGAUAACUUCGGGAAACCGGAGCUAAUACCGGAUAAUAUAUUGAACCGCAUGGUUCAAUAGUGAAAGACGGUUUUGCUGUCACUUAUAGAUGGAUCCGCGCCGCAUUAGCUAGUUGGUAAGGUAACAGCUUACCAAGGCAACGAUGCGUAGCCGACCUGAGAGGGUGAUCGGCCACACUGGAACUGAGACACGGUCCAGACUCCUACGGGAGGCAGCAGUAGGGAAUCUUCCGCAAUGGGCGAAAGCCUGACGGAGCAACGCCGCGUGAGUGAUGAAGGUCUUCGGAUCGUAAAACUCUGUUAUUAGGGAAGAACAAAUGUGUAAGUAACUAUGCACGUCUUGACGGUACCUAAUCAGAAAGCCACGGCUAACUACGUG
Molecule: ribosomal RNA, 497 nt
Filed under: uncultured bacterium
Lineage: Bacteria
Description: partial 16S ribosomal RNA
Rfam family: Bacterial small subunit ribosomal RNA
Source: RNAcentral